UACGGGGGGGGCAAGCGUUGUUCGGAAUUACUGGGCGUAAAGCGCACGUAGGCGGAUAUUUAAGUCAGGGGUGAAAUCCCGGGGCUCAACCCCGGAACUGCCUUUGAUACUGGGUAUCUCGAGUCCGAGAGAGGUGAGUGGAAUUCCGAGUGUAGAGGUGAAAUUCGUAGAUAUUCGGAGGAACACCAGUGGCGAAGGCGGCUCACUGGCUCGGUACUGACGCUGAGGUGCGAAAGCGUGGGGAGCAAACAGG
Molecule: ribosomal RNA, 253 nt
Filed under: uncultured bacterium
Lineage: Bacteria
Description: partial 16S ribosomal RNA
Rfam family: Bacterial small subunit ribosomal RNA
Source: RNAcentral